AGAUUCGAAACCAGAAAAAUCCUCAUACUCAGUGAAGGUCCGAAAGACUUUCUCUAUCCAAUCACAACGACGUUGUGCCACCAAUGCGAUUGCGGCACGGAGUCCCAUUCAUUUUACAAAGCAUUUAUUUAAUAAUUCUCUCCUUCUCCUUUAAUUAUUCUCUCCUUCUAUAGUCUUCUUCAUUUCAGGCGCAGGGUUCUUGCUCAGAGUGUCCACCAAGAAGCACAUGUGUAAAGUCUCGAAGUGGCGAAACAAAGUGUGUCCAUGAUGGUGUACACAGAAAACUACCAAAGAAGGAAGUAACUUCAGCUCAACCAAAGUCACUUCACAUAACAAUGAGAGAUUUCGAAAAGAAUUGGAAAACAAUCUCAACUCAGGAGUUUCGGAAACAUCGAGUAUUAUCUUUCACUUGGAGCCCAACAAUUGCUAAUACCUUCUAUGGUCUUACUGAUUUGGGUAGCAGUGAAGUUAUUGAAACUUAC
Molecule: long non-coding RNA, 482 nt
Organism: Haliotis rufescens (red abalone)
Lineage: Eukaryota; Metazoa; Mollusca; Gastropoda; Lepetellida; Haliotidae
Exons: 3
Source: RefSeq, a predicted model, not a curated record